RNAcentral lists this ribosomal RNA (270 nucleotides) under uncultured bacterium. RNAcentral describes it as "partial 16S ribosomal RNA". It matches the Rfam family "Bacterial small subunit ribosomal RNA", at positions 83 to 354 of the family's 1533-position model. The record is from RNAcentral.
CCCCGUGCAUGAGUGGCGGACGGGUGAGUAACGCGUGGGCAACCUGCCCUGUACAGGGGGACAACACUUAGAAAUAGGUGCUAAUACCGCAUAACGGGGGGAGCCGCAUGGCACCCCCCUGAAAACUCCGGUGGUACAGGAUGGGCCCGCGUCUGAUUAGCUGGUUGGCAGGGUAACGGCCUACCAAGGCGACGAUCAGUAGCCGGCCUGAGAGGGCGGACGGCCACACUGGGACUGAGACACGGCCCAGACUCCUACGGAAGGCAGCAG